Molecule: non-coding RNA, 469 nt
Organism: Hyla sarda
Lineage: Eukaryota; Metazoa; Chordata; Amphibia; Anura; Hylidae
Source: the annotation of a RefSeq genome assembly
GGGGAAGAUUUGGGGAUGGAGGGGCGGUCUUCAAGAUUUGCUCCUCACUUGAAGAACAUACGAGGACACAAUGAGACCGACGCUCCUCAUCCUCACCCUGAACUUUGUAGCAUGUUUCUCCCAGCAGGUGACGGUCACCCAAGAUGAAAGCUUUGAAAAAGUCCAUAUAGGACAAAAAAUAACUCUUCACUGUAAAUACCAAGGCAGCGCAGGGACGUAUACCAUGUACUGGUACAAACAAAAACCAGGACAGGGUCUGGAGCUCAUGGGUUAUUCGCUGACAGUGAAAGAUUUUACGAAAGAAAAUAAUUUUAAGACCUUGUGGGAAAUGGAACGUCCUGAAGAUACAAAGUCCACUCUGCACCGGAACGAAACCUCCCCCGAAGAUUCAGCCGUGUAUUUCUGCGCAGCGAGUUAUCACAGCCACGAAAAGAUGAGACGACGCCGGCACAAAACCUGGAGCCCAUAG